GAAGGCAGAUGAUGUAAAGUUUCUUAUCCUACACACUGAAACAUGAAUGUAGACUGAUAAACUCCGCUUAUUAUCUGAUGCCUUU
This 85-nucleotide small nucleolar RNA is filed under the name Theobroma cacao (cacao). Its description in RNAcentral is "Small nucleolar RNA R16". It matches the Rfam family "Small nucleolar RNA R16". Rfam says of the family: snoR16 is a member of the C/D class of snoRNA which contain the C (UGAUGA) and D (CUGA) box motifs. Most of the members of the box C/D family function in directing site-specific 2'-O-methylation of substrate RNAs. The record is from Rfam by way of RNAcentral. Lineage: Eukaryota; Viridiplantae; Streptophyta; Magnoliopsida; Malvales; Malvaceae.